Molecule: ribosomal RNA, 207 nt
Filed under: uncultured bacterium
Lineage: Bacteria
Description: partial 16S ribosomal RNA
Rfam family: Bacterial small subunit ribosomal RNA
Source: RNAcentral
CGUGCAGGUGGUUUGGUAAGUUGGGUAUGAAAUCUCCUGGCUUAAUUAGGAGAGGUUGCUCAAAACUACCAGACUAGAGGACGAUAGAGGAAGGUGGAAUUCCCGGUGUAGUAGUGAAAUGCGUAGAUAUCGGGAGGAACACCAGUGGCGAAGGCGGCCUUCUGGGUCGUUCCUGACACUAAGACGCGAAAGCAUGGGUAGCAAACG